GGCUCAUAGGACAACUGGUGGAGUUGCCGCCCUGUCACGGCGGAGAUGGAGGGUUCAAUCCCCUCAUGGGUCGCCA
RNAcentral lists this transfer RNA (76 nucleotides) under bacterium. Its description in RNAcentral is "tRNA-Asp". It matches the Rfam family "tRNA". From Rfam's summary of the family: Transfer RNA (tRNA) molecules are approximately 80 nucleotides in length. Their secondary structure includes four short double-helical elements and three loops (D, anti-codon, and T loops). The record is from RNAcentral.